UGCAUGUGUGUGUGUGUGUGUGUGUGGGUGUUUUUUGUAUCCAUGUGAAUGGGUCGCCCACACAUACACUCGCACACUUUCAAU
This 84-nucleotide microRNA precursor is filed under the name Drosophila guanche. Lineage: Eukaryota; Metazoa; Arthropoda; Insecta; Diptera; Drosophilidae. The record is from RNAcentral.